Small nuclear RNA from Perognathus longimembris pacificus (Pacific pocket mouse), 102 nucleotides. The record is from RefSeq and is a predicted model, not a curated record. NCBI's taxonomy places the organism in Eukaryota, Metazoa, Chordata, Mammalia, Rodentia, Heteromyidae.
GUGCUUGCUUUGGCAGCACAUAUACUAAAAUUGGAACGAUACAGAUUAGCAUGGCUACUGGGCAAUGAUGACAUGCAAAUUCAUGAGGCACUCCAUAUUUUU